This 459-nucleotide long non-coding RNA is filed under the name Zea mays. Its description in RNAcentral is "long non-coding RNA (ZMAY_LNC005656)". Lineage: Eukaryota; Viridiplantae; Streptophyta; Magnoliopsida; Poales; Poaceae. The record is from RNAcentral.
ACCCAACCUAGACUUGUUUCUUCUCUGUUGCUGUCUUCAAUGUCCCCUCCUUCUCCCACUCUAAAGAAGAUUACACCUCUCCAAAGGUAUUUAUUUUUUCUUUGUCAAAGCUUCUCUACGCUCGGUUGAUGGGGCCGACCAUCAUGUAGCCAUAUUAGUAGUCCCCUGCACACAACAGCUCGUCAACACACAGCUUAUGACCAUCAUGAUUCAGGAUCUAUGCUGGCAUAUACAUGCAUCAUGGUCAUGGGAGCAGCAGCUAGCUUAUUAUUAAUGGUUACAACACUAUCAGAAAGACAGGCACAAGGAGGGUUGUUGUUGACACUUACUCCCAGAUUAGAGGAAUGGAGGGCCCCCUCACCCUUUUUUUGCUAUGUGCACCUCGCACAUCACAUCCCAAUGGCUUCAUGCCCAGGAGAAAACCUGGAGAAAUUCCGAACAGAUGUAACAACAAAAAAA